RNAcentral lists this unclassified non-coding RNA (3667 nucleotides) under Octopus sinensis (East Asian common octopus). Its description in RNAcentral is "coronin-2B, transcript variant X16". The record is from RNAcentral. Lineage: Eukaryota; Metazoa; Mollusca; Cephalopoda; Octopoda; Octopodidae.
ACAACAACAACAAUAAUAAUCAUAAUUAUAAUAAUAAUAUUAAUUAUUUAUUAUUAACUAAUUCAUUCAUUCAUUCAUGAUUUGGUGCUAAAAAUUGGAAUGGAUUGUUUUUGAACGUCAUGGAUUCGUGUGACCUCUGAAGUCCGAUCGCAACAUCUCUUCCACUUGUCACCAUUUAUUAGAACCGCCGUUCUUAACAGUUGAAAUAAAAACUGUUGGAAUGGAAGGACCGGCACCGGCUUCUCCUUCAAAGAGGAUGAAAUCAACUGGAUGGGGGCUAGUUACGAUGGCGUUUCGAGUGCGGAGCUCUAAGUACCGCCAUAUUUUUGGCAGUCCUUAUAGAAAAGAGCUUUGUUAUGAAAAUGUUCAUAUUACCAGAAAUGCCCAUGACAGCAAUUUCUGUGCUGUGAAUCCCAAAUUUCUGGCAGUUGUGAUUGAAGCCUCAGGUGGAGGAGCAUUUUUAGUACUUCCAUUGGAAAAGACUGGUCGUGUUGAUAUCAAUGCUCCCAAAGUUACUGGUCAUGCUGGAACAGUUUUGGAUAUCAAAUGGAAUCCAUUUGAUGACAAUGUCAUUGCUUCAGCUGCUGACGAUAACACGGUAAAAGUUUGGCGGAUUCCCAACACUAUGCAUAGUAACCUGACUGAGUGGGCAGUUGACCUUCAUGGUCAUCAACGUAAGGUUACAAACAUUGAAUGGCAUCCGACCGCUUCUAAUAUCAUUCUCAGUACUGGAAUGGACCAUAAGUGUAUUCUGUGGAACGUGGAGCAAGCUGAGCCUCUUAAUAUCAUUAACUGCCAUAAUGAUACUGUGUUCUCAAUAACUUGGAACCGGGAAGGUAGUCUUUUUGCUACCACAUGCAAGGAUAGAAAGAUCAGAGUACACGAUCCGAGAACCGCCCAAGUUGCCAUCGACGGAACUGGCCAUCAAGGUGUUAAAGCCUCCAAAUCUGUUUUUCUUGGAGACACAAACCGGAUCUUCACAACAGGUUUCUCAAGAUCUAGUGAGCGCCAAUAUGCUAUCUGGGAUGUGAGAAACAUGACCAAAUCUUUAAAAACUGAAGUAGUGGAUUUCUCCAGUGGAAUUCUGUUUCCAUUUUAUGAUCAUGAUAGUAAAGUGAUUUUCCUUGCUGGCAAGGGUGAUGGUAAUAUUAGAUACUAUGAAAUAGUAAGUGCUGCCCCCUAUUGCCACUAUCUCAAUCAGUUCCAGUCUUCAUCUCCACAAAGAAGUUUAGGAAUAAUGCCAAAGCGUGGCUGUGAUGCUAAGCGCUGUGAAAUUGUGCGGUUUUACAAACUUCACACUGCCAAAGAUCUGGUGGAGCCAGUUUCAAUGAUUGUUCCUAGGAAAUCUGACCAGUUCCAAGACGAUAUUUUCCCACCAACGGCCAGUUGUGUUCCCUCCCUCACAGCUGAUGAAUGGAUCAGUGGACAAAAUAGAGAACCAAUUUUAGUUUCACUCCAGGAUGGUCAAAUGACCAAUUGCCCUCCAAUUACAUCUGCCAAAGCUGUUCAAAAACAGGAUGGAGCCUUAAAGCAAACCCCGACCAUCACCACUUUCAAGGCUGUCAACCGUCCUCCAUUGGCGCGUUCGUCUACAUUACCUACAGCUCAGGUUCCUCCUAGUGUUAACACAGAAAUUAAUAAGGAACCGGCAUCUCUGAAAAACAUAAAAAGACUUAGCUCUAAUGAUGAAUUUGUUACUUUAUCAAGUGAUCCUGCGAAUAACACCUGUACUAUUGAAAACCAUGGGGAAGGUGAUGUGUCAACAGCCAAGGAAUCUGUUAACAAAACCCCUGAAAAAGUGAUGAGGAAGUCUUGGGCUCCGUCGUCUAAUUCUAGUUCUGCUGAUGAUGUCACAUCAAAUGGGAUUGUUUCAUCGUCACCUGUCGAUAAUUCUCUGCCAUUUGACCAAAAUCUUAUAGAAGGCAGCAGUCAAGAAAUCGCUGACUUGCUUCAAUCAUGUCACUCUGAAAAUUUAACCGAAAUAGUCGAUGCAGAAUCCAAAAUUGAUACAAAAAAUGGUCUGGAACCAGAAAAUAUUCAUUCUACAACUGCUGUCUUUAAGUCAAAUGUUAAUUUGACAUUUUCUUCUGAAACUAAAUCAGUUGAAAGUGAUGAACGAAGAAUCCAUGUGAAGAAGGUAUGGUCCCCAACUCCCAUCUCUCCUUCAAGCCUGGAGAAUGGGACCAAUCAGCUUGAUGCUGAGCUACGCAAAGCCUACUUUCAACAAGUGGAAGAGAUCAAAAGCCUUAAGGAACAAAUGUCCAUGAAGGACAAACGGAUUCGGCAACUGGAAGAAGAAAUCUGCUCAAUCAGGCAACGAGUGAACAGCGGUGAAAGUGAAAGUAACUGCUAAAGUCGAAAUCCCUUUCAGGGUCAAGUAACAACACCCCGUGGAGGGAUUAAACUGUUUCUGAUGAUGAUAAUGAUGAUGAUGAUGAUGACGAUGAUGAUGAUGAUGAUGGUGAUGCACACACAAACAAAUUCUUACUAUUGACUAAUGGGAAUAUUUUAGACAAUUAGUUGUUAUUAUUAUUAUUAUUAUUAUUAUUAUUUUAUUAUCAUUAUUAUUAUUAUUAACUAAAUAGACUUGACCAAUGCAUCAGUUAAGAAUGCACCUCACUGCUGUAUGACAUUGUGGCCACUAUUACAAUUACCACCACCACCACAACCACCACCAGUACAACUUAUAGAUCAGUUAACACCAACAAAUGCUCAAUAACAACUGAUAAAACUAAAAAAAAGGACUUUGGACUGGAUUUAUUCAAUUCUUUCUCUUGUCCUCGUGUUUUUAGUUUUUCUCUCAUUUUUCUUAUUUUCUUAGUCCUCCCCGCCCCAGCCCCUCACUUCUCUUUUUUUCUUUCUUUGUAUCACUUUUGAUGUUUUACUUAUUUGUAAAAAAAAAAAAAAAAAACUAAGCCUGUUCUGAAGUUCUGAGAUCACGAAAUUUAUGAAGGAAGAAUAAACGAAAUAGCCACGAAAUUACUGCAAGAAGUGGAAUAGUUGUGAAAUUCUGACAGUAAUAAUAAUAAUAAUAAUAAUAAUGAUAAUUCAAUUUUAUUAUUUGUCAUAUUUAAUUUUUUUAAUGAAAAUAAAAUAGAAUAAUUUGAUAAAAGUCCUUCAUAAGGAUAUUUUAAGUUUCAUCUUAAUUCAGUUGGGCCUGCCCCACCCCCCAUCUACCAUAUGAUCCCUCCUCCCCCAUAUACCACAUAAUAUUCCUUUCCCACCUUAAAAAAAGAAAAAAAGAAGACAUUUCUAUGUAUUUAUUUAUUUUUUUCUUUCUGUAUUUGCAAAACAAAAAUAACUGAAAAAUUUGUACAAAACUUUUUGCUGAAAUGUGUAGAAUUGUCUGCCAAUCUUUCUCUCUUACAAACACACACACACACACACACACACACACACUGCUGUACAUAUUGCACCCACAGUGCCGCCCCCUCCCAGUCUUGUUAAUCAUAAACACUCUGCAGCUAGCUUUAUACCUUCUUCAGUUGACACUACUACUACUACUACUACCACUACAACACUUCUGUGUAUAGCCAUAGAGUUGCAAUAUGCACACCUAGCCAAGUAUUGCACACAUACACACACACACAUACACAUACACCAAGCUGUAUUGAUAUUUGUUUUUUCUGUGAUUGUCAGAGUAAACUAAAACAUUUAUCUUUUAAAA